AUGUCCUCUGUCUCCGAGCUCGCCUGCAUCUACUCAGCCCUCACUCUGCAUGACAAUGAGGUGACCAUCACGGAGGAUAAGAUCAAUGCCCUCGUUAAAGCAGCUGGUGUAAAUGUUGAACCUUUUUGGUCCAGCUUGUUUGCAAUGGCCCUGGCCAAUGUCAACAUUGGGAGCCUCAUCUACAAUGUAGGGGCUGGUGGACCUGCUCCAGCAGCUGGUGCUGCACCAGUGGGAUCCUGCCCACUCCACUGCUGCUGCUCCAGCUGAGAAGAAAGUGGAAGCAAACAAAGAAGAAUCUGAGGAGUCUGAUGAUGACAUGGGCUUUUGGUUGUUUUGACUAA
Molecule: long non-coding RNA, 341 nt
Filed under: Homo sapiens (human)
Lineage: Eukaryota; Metazoa; Chordata; Mammalia; Primates; Hominidae
Description: non-protein coding lnc-ADORA2B-2:1
Source: RNAcentral